UGCAAGUCGAGCGGAAAGGCCACUUCGGUGGUACUCGAGCGGCGAACGGGUGAGUAACACGUGAGUAAUCUGCCCUUGGCUUCGGGAUAGCCACCGGAAACGGUGAUUAAUACCGAAUAUGACCUCUGCACGCAUGUGUGGUGGUGGAAAGUUUUUUCGGCCAGGGAUGUGCUCGCGGCCUAUCAGCUUGAUGGUGAGGUAAUGGCUCACCAUGGCUUCGACGGGUAGCCGGCCUGAGAGGGUGACCGGUCACACUGGGACUGAGACACGGCCCAGACUCCUACGGGAGGCAGCAGUGGGGAAUAUUGGACAAUGGGCGGAAGCCUGAUCCAGCAACGCCGCGUGAGGGAUGACGGCCUUCGGGUUGUAAACCUCUUUCAGCAGGGACGAAGCGCAAGUGACGGUACCUGCAGAAGAAGCACCGGCCAACUACGUGCCAGCAGCCGCGGUAAUACGUAGGGUGCGAGCGUUGUCCGGAAUUAUUGGGCGUAAAGGGCUCGUAGGCGGUUUGUCGCGUCGGGAGUGAAAACGCCGUGCUUAACACGGCGCUUGCUUUCGAUACGGGCAGACUAGAGGUAUUCAGGGGAGAACGGAAUUCCUGGUGUAGCGGUGAAAUGCGCAGAUAUCAGGAGGAACACCGGUGGCGAAGGCGGUUCUCUGGGAAUGACCUGACGCUGAGGAGCGAAAGUGUGGGGAGCGAACAGGAUUAGAUACCCUGGUAGUCCACACCGUAAACGUUGGGCGCUAGGUGUGGGGUCCAUUCCACGGAUUCCGUGCCGCAGCUAACGCAUUAAGCGCCCCGCCUGGGGAGUACGGCCGCAAGGCUAAAACUCAAAGGAAUUGACGGGGGCCCGCACAAGCGGCGGAGCAUGCGGAUUAAUUCGAUGCAACGCGAAGAACCUUACCUGGGUUUGACAUACACCCUGCCGCUCCAGAGAUGGGGCUUCUUUUGGGGGUGUACAGGUGGUGCAUGGCUGUCGUCAGCUCGUGUC
This 992-nucleotide ribosomal RNA is filed under the name Nocardioides ganghwensis. Its description in RNAcentral is "bacterial SSU rRNA". It matches the Rfam family "Bacterial small subunit ribosomal RNA", at positions 56 to 1066 of the family's 1533-position model. Lineage: Bacteria; Bacillati; Actinomycetota; Actinomycetes; Propionibacteriales; Nocardioidaceae. The record is from RNAcentral.